ACAUGCAAGUCGAACGGCAGCAUAGGUGCUUGCACCUGAUGGCGAGUGGCGAACGGGUGAGUAAUGCAUCGGAACGUGCCCAAUCGUGGGGGAUAACGCAGCGAAAGCUGUGCUAAUACCGCAUACGAUCUACGGAUGAAAGCGGGGGACCUUCGGGCCUCGCGCGAUUGGAGCGGCCGAUGUUAGAUUAGGUAGUUGGUGGGGUAAAGGCUCACCAACCGACGAUCUAUAGCUGGUCUGAGAGGACGACCAGCCACACUGGAACUGAGACACGGUCCAGACUCCUACGGGAGGCAGCAGUGGGGAAUUUUGGACAAUGGGCGAAAGCCUGAUCCAGCAAUACCGCGUGCAGGAAGAAGGCCUUCGGGUUGUAAACUGCUUUUGUACGGAACGAAAAGGUCUGCCUUAAUACGGUGGGCUCAUGACGGUACCGUAAGAAUAAGCACCGGCUAACUACGUGCCAGCAGCCGCGGAAUACGUAGGGUGCGAGCGUUAAUCGGAAUUACUGGGCGUAAAGCGUGCGCAGGCGGCUUUGUAAGACAGACGUGAAAUCCCCGGGCUCAACCUGGGAAUUGCGUUUGUGACUGCAAGGCUAGAGUACGGUAGAAGGGGGUAGAAUUCCGCGUGUAGCAGUGAAAUGCGUAGAUAUGCGGAGGAACACCGAUGGCGAAAGGCAGCCCCCUGGACCUGUACUGACGCUCAUGCACGA
RNAcentral lists this ribosomal RNA (709 nucleotides) under uncultured bacterium. RNAcentral describes it as "bacterial SSU rRNA". It matches the Rfam family "Bacterial small subunit ribosomal RNA", at positions 53 to 756 of the family's 1533-position model. The record is from RNAcentral.